GAUUGCGGGACGUCAUCUUCAGUACGAGAGGACCGAGAUGGCUCGACCGCUGGUGAGCCAGUUGGGGGGCCUCCCCCAGAGCUGGAUAGCUACGUCGAGAAGGGAUAAGCGCUGAAAGCAUCUAAGCGCGAAGCCGCUCCCAAGACCAAUCUUCCCAUCUUUUCGUGAGAUCAAGAUCCCAGGGAGAAGACCUGGUAGAUAGACGGCAGGUGCACGCCGGGUAACCGGUGCAGCUAAGCCGCCCUAAUGAUCGUACGGCUUGUUUCA
RNAcentral lists this ribosomal RNA (267 nucleotides) under Ktedonobacteraceae bacterium. Its description in RNAcentral is "partial 23S ribosomal RNA". It matches the Rfam family "Bacterial large subunit ribosomal RNA", at positions 2660 to 2925 of the family's 2925-position model. Lineage: Bacteria; Bacillati; Chloroflexota; Ktedonobacteria; Ktedonobacterales; Ktedonobacteraceae. The record is from RNAcentral.